AUAUAGUCAGGGAGAAGGAAGUCAGUGCAUUUAUGCAAUUUUACAGAACAGUCAAAAAAAUUGAUUUCUCAAAGUUCAAUUAAAAAAAAAAACUAGCUCAUCUCUUAUUUUCAAGGAGAUGAAUUAUGGAAAAUUCCUUCAAAUUUAUGCCACAGGCCUAGUUUUGGACCUUAGGAAGGAAUCUCCUCCCAUUUUCUCUUCACAUUUUAGUUUCUUCAAGUUGCUAUUAUAAAUUGUUUGAAUAGCAAAAUCAGCCAUGACCCGAAUCAUGGAGAUAUGUGGAUUUCCUUGCAUUGAAAUACAUCUAUACAAUUGAAAGUUAUGCAUACAGCACAAAACUAUAAACAAAAAGGUGAAGCAAACUUUCUUUAUUUUCAGGUAAAAACAUUAACCUGAUGGAUUAUUGCAGAUUUGAGAAAUCAGCACAUAAAAUGACUGGACAGCAUUGCUUACAGGUGCUUUUAUCUGCGUCGAGACAAAGGCUGAACUGUUUUGUCCCAAGUCAGCACUGGGAGAAGGGGAAGAGGAGCGUGGAAUAAAGAAGACUAUGAACAAAAACGUAAAACAACAAAGGGAAAAAAAUUUUUUUACUCCAACAGGGAAGGAAAACUGCUUAUUUUGUUUAAAAAAUUUACAUUAAUUUAAAAUCCUCUGGCCACAGAAUAAUAAAUACCGGCCAGCCCAAGCUGUAGACUUCUUAACCUUCAUAAAAGAAACAAAUGAGCUUUCCUUGUCUCAUUCCAGAGGCUGUUGCUGCUGGAAUUGCCAUGUAAACAGUCCUUAGUGUGUCACCUGGGAAAAAGCCAGUAAUACCCUAAACUAUAUUAAAACUAAACUAUAAGAAAAGUCUACCUAGUUACAAAAGCUGAAUUAUAUUCAAUAAAUUUCAAUCCAAUGAAUUUUAAAUUAGAUCUUAACUGGAGAGAACAUGGGACAACAGAAGCCCAUGGGUAACGAAAAUUUGAGAACUGUGAGUUGUAUACAAAAAAAAAACUGUGAGCUGCACAGAUAAUAAUGAAUCAGGGAGAGAAAAUCAGAGGAAAGUGAAAAGCACAUAGAGCUAGUCUACUAAACUAUAUUUGUCAAAUACAUGUGAGCUUAAAUUUCUGUACUUAUGUACAAGAGUUGUCUUUGGAGGAAAGAAAACUGCAGACUUAGCUAGAUGGAUACACACAGCCCAGAAUUAAACUGCACAGCCACAUUUAUUGUUCCAGCCUGG
Molecule: long non-coding RNA, 1219 nt
Filed under: Homo sapiens (human)
Lineage: Eukaryota; Metazoa; Chordata; Mammalia; Primates; Hominidae
Description: HSALNT0048436
Source: RNAcentral